RNAcentral lists this ribosomal RNA (536 nucleotides) under Bacillus licheniformis. Its description in RNAcentral is "bacterial SSU rRNA". It matches the Rfam family "Bacterial small subunit ribosomal RNA", at positions 1 to 522 of the family's 1533-position model. The record is from RNAcentral. Lineage: Bacteria; Bacillati; Bacillota; Bacilli; Caryophanales; Bacillaceae.
UGGAGAGUUUGAUCCUGGCUCAGGACGAACGCUGGCGGCGUGCCUAAUACAUGCAAGUCGAGCGGACAGAUGGGAGCUUGCUCCCUGAUGUYAGCGGCGGACGGGUGAGUAACACGUGGGUAACCUGCCUGUAAGACUGGGAUAACUCCGGGAAACCGGGGCUAAUACCGGAUGCUUGAUUGAACCGCAUGGUUCAAUUAUAAAAGGUGGCUUUUAGCUACCACUUACAGAUGGACCCGCGGCGCAUUAGCUAGUUGGUGAGGUAACGGCUCACCAAGGCRACGAUGCGUAGCCGACCUGAGAGGGUGAUCGGCCACACUGGGACUGAGACACGGCCCAGACUCCUACGGGAGGCAGCAGUAGGGAAUCUUCCGCAAUGGACGAAAGUCUGACGGAGCAACGCCGCGUGAGUGAUGAAGGUUUUCGGAUCGUAAAACUCUGUUGUUAGGGAAGAACAAGUACCGUUCGAAUAGGGCGGUACCUUGACGGUACCUAACCAGAAAGCCACGGCUAACUACGUGCCAGCAGCCGCGGUA